UCCCUUAGUAACUGCGAGUGAAGAGGGAAAAGCUCAAAUUUAAAAUCUGGCAGUGUUUUACUGGCCGAAUUGUAUCCUAAAAAAGUGGAACCCGUGCUGGACCGUGUAAAAGUCUCCUGGAAUGGAGCAUCAUAAAGGGUGAGAAUCCCGUCUUUGACAUGGACUACCGGUGCUCCGUGGUUGUGCUCUCCACCAAUCCAGUUGUUUGGGAAUGCAGCUCUUAAUGGGUGGGAAAUUCCAUCUAAAGCUAAAUAUUGGCGAAAGACCGAUAGCGAACAAGUACCGUGAGGGAAAGAUGAAAAGAACUUUGGAAAGAAAGUUAAACAGUAUGUGAAAUUGUUGAAAGGGAAACGUUUGAAGUCCGUCCCGUUGGUUGGGGAUCAGCCUAACAAAAUUGUUGGGUGUACUUCCUGGUUAACGGGCCCACAUGAAUUUUGAGCAUCAAAAAAAGGCCUUUGGAAUGGGGCACCCUUGGGUGGUGUAAUACCUUCGGGCAUUAUUUGUGGUUCGG
Molecule: ribosomal RNA, 511 nt
Filed under: Rhodocollybia sp.
Lineage: Eukaryota; Fungi; Basidiomycota; Agaricomycetes; Agaricales; Omphalotaceae
Description: LSU rRNA
Rfam family: Eukaryotic large subunit ribosomal RNA
Source: RNAcentral